Molecule: ribosomal RNA, 2424 nt
Filed under: Escherichia coli
Lineage: Bacteria; Pseudomonadati; Pseudomonadota; Gammaproteobacteria; Enterobacterales; Enterobacteriaceae
Description: partial 23S ribosomal RNA
Rfam family: Bacterial large subunit ribosomal RNA
Source: RNAcentral
AUGCACAUAUUGUGAGCUCGAUGAGUAGGGCGGGACACGUGGUAUCCUGUCUGAAUAUGGGGGGACCAUCCUCCAAGGCUAAAUACUCCUGACUGACCGAUAGUGAACCAGUACCGUGAGGGAAAGGCGAAAAGAACCCCGGCGAGGGGAGUGAAAAAGAACCUGAAACCGUGUACGUACAAGCAGUGGGAGCCUCUUUAUGGGGUGACUGCGUACCUUUUGUAUAAUGGGUCAGCGACUUAUAUUCUGUAGCAAGGUUAACCGAAUAGGGGAGCCGAAGGGAAACCGAGUCUUAACUGGGCGUUAAGUUGCAGGGUAUAGACCCGAAACCCGGUGAUCUAGCCAUGGGCAGGUUGAAGGUUGGGUAACACUAACUGGAGGACCGAACCGACUAAUGUUGAAAAAUUAGCGGAUGACUUGUGGCUGGGGGUGAAAGGCCAAUCAAACCGGGAGAUAGCUGGUUCUCCCCGAAAGCUAUUUAGGUAGCGCCUCGUGAAUUCAUCUCCGGGGGUAGAGCACUGUUUCGGCAAGGGGGUCAUCCCGACUUACCAACCCGAUGCAAACUGCGAAUACCGGAGAAUGUUAUCACGGGAGACACACGGCGGGUGCUAACGUCCGUCGUGAAGAGGGAAACAACCCAGACCGCCAGCUAAGGUCCCAAAGUCAUGGUUAAGUGGGAAACGAUGUGGGAAGGCCCAGACAGCCAGGAUGUUGGCUUAGAAGCAGCCAUCAUUUAAAGAAAGCGUAAUAGCUCACUGGUCGAGUCGGCCUGCGCGGAAGAUGUAACGGGGCUAAACCAUGCACCGAAGCUGCGGCAGCGACACUAUGUGUUGUUGGGUAGGGGAGCGUUCUGUAAGCCUGUGAAGGUGGCCUGUGAGGGUUGCUGGAGGUAUCAGAAGUGCGAAUGCUGACAUAAGUAACGAUAAAGCGGGUGAAAAGCCCGCUCGCCGGAAGACCAAGGGUUCCUGUCCAACGUUAAUCGGGGCAGGGUGAGUCGACCCCUAAGGCGAGGCCGAAAGGCGUAGUCGAUGGGAAACAGGUUAAUAUUCCUGUACUUGGUGUUACUGCGAAGGGGGGACGGAGAAGGCUAUGUUGGCCGGGCGACGGUUGUCCCGGUUUAAGCGUGUAGGCUGGUUUUCCAGGCAAAUCCGGAAAACCAAGGCUGAGGCGUGAUGACGAGGCACUACGGUGCUGAAGCGACAAAUGCCCUGCUUCCAGGAAAAGCCUCUAAGCAUCAGGUAACAUCAAAUCGUACCCCAAACCGACACAGGUGGUCAGGUAGAGAAUACCAAGGCGCUUGAGAGAACUCGGGUGAAGGAACUAGGCAAAAUGGUGCCGUAACUUCGGGAGAAGGCACGCUGAUAUGUAGGUGAAGCGACUUGCUCGUGGAGCUGAAAUCAGUCGAAGAUACCAGCUGGCUGCAACUGUUUAUUAAAAACACAGCACUGUGCAAACACGAAAGUGGACGUAUACGGUGUGACGCCUGCCCGGUGCCGGAAGGUUAAUUGAUGGGGUUAGCGGUAACGCGAAGCUCUUGAUCGAAGCCCCGGUAAACGGCGGCCGUAACUAUAACGGUCCUAAGGUAGCGAAAUUCCUUGUCGGGUAAGUUCCGACCUGCACGAAUGGCGUAAUGAUGGCCAGGCUGUCUCCACCCGAGACUCAGUGAAAUUGAACUCGCUGUGAAGAUGCAGUGUACCCGCGGCAAGACGGAAAGACCCCGUGAACCUUUACUAUAGCUUGACACUGAACAUUGAGCCUUGAUGUGUAGGAUAGGUGGGAGGCUUUGAAGUGUGGACGCCAGUCUGCAUGGAGCCGACCUUGAAAUACCACCCUUUAAUGUUUGAUGUUCUAACGUUGGCCCGUAAUCCGGGUUGCGGACAGUGUCUGGUGGGUAGUUUGACUGGGGCGGUCUCCUCCUAAAGAGUAACGGAGGAGCACGAAGGUUGGCUAAUCCUGGUCGGACAUCAGGAGGUUAGUGCAAUGGCAUAAGCCAGCUUGACUGCGAGCGUGACGGCGCGAGCAGGUGCGAAAGCAGGUCAUAGUGAUCCGGUGGUUCUGAAUGGAAGGGCCAUCGCUCAACGGAUAAAAGGUACUCCGGGGAUAACAGGCUGAUACCGCCCAAGAGUUCAUAUCGACGGCGGUGUUUGGCACCUCGAUGUCGGCUCAUCACAUCCUGGGGCUGAAGUAGGUCCCAAGGGUAUGGCUGUUCGCCAUUUAAAGUGGUACGCGAGCUGGGUUUAGAACGUCGUGAGACAGUUCGGUCCCUAUCUGCCGUGGGCGCUGGAGAACUGAGGGGGGCUGCUCCUAGUACGAGAGGACCGGAGUGGACGCAUCACUGGUGUUCGGGUUGUCAUGCCAAUGGCACUGCCCGGUAGCUAAAUGCGGAAGAGAUAAGUGCUGAAAGCAUCUAAGCACGAAACUUGC